This 637-nucleotide long non-coding RNA is filed under the name Nicotiana benthamiana. RNAcentral's name for it is "long non-coding RNA (NBEN_LNC024617)". Lineage: Eukaryota; Viridiplantae; Streptophyta; Magnoliopsida; Solanales; Solanaceae. The record is from RNAcentral.
AUGUUAUACUGCACAAUAAUGUAUAAUCACACAUUAUGUUAGGAGUACCCAAGUACUUAAAAAUGUAACUAGAUAUACUUGAAUUCAAUAAGAAAAUAGACUUGAAAACAAAAACAAUUUCAAGUAACCUCAUUAUUACUAACAUGUUUUAUUUCUACACAGAAAAAGAUGAAUAAUCAAUAAAAACUUCUUGGAGUUACUCAAAGUAGGAUGUAAUAUUUUAAUGAUGCAAACACUAUUUAUAUUCAUAUUUUGGAUACGUACUACUUCAAGAAAAUAUUGUUGUUAUAUAAGUCUAUAGUUGAUUACCUCUAUUUAUAUUUUAAUAAUGCAAGUCAAUUAAGAAGCAGUUCAUUAAAAUCAUUACAUCUUUAUUCAUAAAUAAAGAGAUCAUGGUGAAGUAUGAGUAUCUUUCUCUUUCUAUUUUUGUUUUUAAACAUAAUUGAAAAAAUUAAGUAUCCAACAAAACAUAUCAUUAUCCUUACAAAAGACAGAAACAUGUUGUACCUGAUAAUUUUAACUCAGAGUCGAGAACUUUAAAAGAAGAUAACCUACCGUGAUGGUUAAAGACCCCUGCUGAUAGCGUGUUAUAAAAUGAAAGCAAUUUAGUAAAACAUGAACAAGAAAUAUAAGCAAC